Molecule: long non-coding RNA, 720 nt
Organism: Phacochoerus africanus (Common warthog)
Lineage: Eukaryota; Metazoa; Chordata; Mammalia; Artiodactyla; Suidae
Exons: 2
Source: RefSeq, a predicted model, not a curated record
GCUCAUCUUUCAGGCCCUAAGUGUGCAGACAAACAAGGGGUGGCACGCUGGGAAAGGACAAGUGCCGGUGACACUGCUCGUGGCACGGCCAGUAACUCCCUUUUAAGAUGUGAUUUUGGAGAAGAAAUAGUCCUUCUUGGAGACCCGUUGCUCCAUCUGUAAGGGCUGUACAUUCUUCGAUCAUGACUCGUCUUGGGGAAAGUGAGGAGGGUGGAGUGAAGACCACGAGCUGUCCCCAAAAAUCCACUUCUCCUUCCUCAGCAGUUGGCGUUUAGCCGGGACGUGACUGCUCCGUUAAGGACCCCAACUGCCAGCUCCCGUCGCAGCCCGUCAGGCCAUGUUCACGGAGCUCUUGUCGAUGGACGGACGUGAGCAGAUGGGACUCUGCAGCUUUUCCUUGCUCGCUUACGAGUAAACCUCCGGCCCUAGAAUUCUGGUCCUUCUCUCUCUUCACAAACUGGCAGCGCUUCCACCCGCGGGCACUCGGAAGCUGCAUGUUGAGGAUGGCAGUCGCUGUCCCUCCCUCUGAACCACCGAGCAGAGCGCAGCCGUCCACCUGCGUGGAACACUGCCCGGGACCACGCUGCCACGGACCUCCGGACAAACCACCCUCCCGUCGCCAGGAAGCAUCCACGAGGACAUCUCUCUCCCCCUCUUCUUAACCAUCACAUCCAAUACCUGUCCCCCACAUUUUCUGGUACUUACAUGGUGUCCCACUUA